RNAcentral lists this ribosomal RNA (420 nucleotides) under bacterium. RNAcentral's name for it is "partial 16S ribosomal RNA". It matches the Rfam family "Bacterial small subunit ribosomal RNA", at positions 355 to 776 of the family's 1533-position model. The record is from RNAcentral.
UGGGGGAUAUUGCACAAUGGGCGAAAGCCUGAUGCAGCGACGCCGCGUGGGGGAUGAAGGCUUUCGGGUUGUAAACCUCUUUCGCUAUCGAACAAGGCCCGCUUAGGGUGGGUUGAGGGUAGGUGGAGAAGAAGCGCCGGCUAACUACGUGCCAGCAGCCGCGGUAAUACGUAGGGCGCGAGCGUUGUCCGGAAUUAUUGGGCGUAAAGGGCUUGUAGGCGGCUUGUUGCUCCUGCUGUGAAAACGCGGGGCUUAACUUCGGGCGUGCAGUGGGUAAGGGCAGGCUUGAGUGUGGUAGGGGUGACUGGAAUUCCAGGUGUAGCGGUGGAAUGCGGAGAUAUCUGGAGGAACACCGAUGGCGAAGGCAGGUCACUGGGCCAUUACUGACGCUGAGGAGCGAAAGCAUGGGUAGCGAACAGG